CACGUGGGAACGUGCCCUUCGGUUCGGAAUAACUCGGGGAAACUCGAGCUAAUACCGAAUAAGCCCUUACGGGGAAAGAUUUAUCGCCGAUGGAGCGGCCCGCGUCUGAUUAGCUAGUUGGUGAGGUAACGGCUCACCAAGGCUACGAUCAGUAGCUGGUCUGAGAGGAUGAUCAGCCUCACUGGGACUGAGACACGGCCCAGACUCCUACGGGAGGCAGCAGUGGGGAAUAUUGGACAAUGGGCGCAAGCCUGAUCCAGCCAUGCCGCGUGGAUGAUGAAGGCCUUAGGGUUGUAAAGUCCUUUUAACGGGGAAGAUAAUGACGGUACCCGUAGAAUAAGCCCCGGCUAACUUCGUGCCAGCAGCCACGGUAAUACGAAGGGGGCUAGCGUUGCUCGGAAUUACUGGGCGUAAAGCGCACGUAGGCGGCUUUUUAAGUCGGGGGUGAAAUCCUGGAGCUCAACUCCAGAACUGCCUUCGAUACUGAAGAGCUUGAGUCCGGGAGAGGUGAGUGGAACUGCGAGUGUAGAGGUGAAAUUCGUAGAUAUUCGCAAGAACACCAGUGGCGAAGGCGGCUCACUGGCCCGGUACUGA
This 594-nucleotide ribosomal RNA is filed under the name uncultured bacterium. Its description in RNAcentral is "bacterial SSU rRNA". It matches the Rfam family "Bacterial small subunit ribosomal RNA", at positions 114 to 743 of the family's 1533-position model. The record is from RNAcentral.